This 574-nucleotide ribosomal RNA is filed under the name uncultured fungus. RNAcentral's name for it is "SSU rRNA". It matches the Rfam family "Eukaryotic small subunit ribosomal RNA", at positions 288 to 873 of the family's 1831-position model. Lineage: Eukaryota; Fungi. The record is from RNAcentral.
CGAUGGUUCAUUCAAAUUUCUGCCCCAUCAACUUUCGAUGGUAGGAUAGUGGCCUACCAUGGGGAUCAACGGGUAACGGGGAAAUUAGGGUUCUAUUCCGGAGAGGGAGCCUGAGAAACGGUACCACAUCCAAGGAAGGCAGAGGCGCGCAAAUUACCCAAUCCCGACACGGGGAGGUAGUGACAAUAAAUACUGAUACAGGGCUCUUUUGGGUCUUGUAAUUGGAAUGAGUACAAUUUAAAUCCCUCAACGAGGAACAAUUGGAGGGCAAGUCUGGUGCCAGCAGCCGCGGUAAUUCCAGCUCCAAUAGCGUAUAUUAAAGUUGUUGAGGUUAAAAAGCUCGUAGUUGAACCUUGGGCCCAGCCGGCCGGUCCGCCUCACCGCGUGCACUGGCUCGGCUGGGCCUUUCCUUCUGGAGAACCGAUGCCCUUUACUGGGUGUGCCGGGGAACCAGGACUUUUACUCUGAACAAAUUAGAUCGUUAAAGAAGGGCUAUGCUCGAAUACAUUAGCUUGGAAUAAUAGACUAGGACGUGUGGUUCUAUUUGUGGUUCUAGGACCGCGUAAUGAUUAAU